Molecule: long non-coding RNA, 707 nt
Organism: Amphiprion ocellaris (clown anemonefish)
Lineage: Eukaryota; Metazoa; Chordata; Actinopteri; Pomacentridae
Source: Ensembl
AUUUGUACUUAAUUUAUUAGCAUGAUUUCUUUUUAAUAUGUUGUGUACAGACUUAAUUACUUCUCUGUCUACUUUUCUUACUCCAUGUAGGUUUCCCAGAGACUAUGGGUUGAGGAGGAAUUGGAAGUUUGUCGGCUUAGACCUGGUGUCAUUCCAUCAGUGUUAAACUUCCCGGCUCAUCUUGGAAGAGUACGUGCCAGAAAGACCACGACCAAGCAGCCUUGAGAUCUUAGGCAGCGUCUCCCUGAGGUUCCUCUCUAUCUCCCCACACAUCCACCAACCACUGGAACACAUCUCCAAAGUUCUGCCGGGCCAGCUCAGCUUCCCCUCAGAAGAAGUGCUGCCACCUGCCAGAUGAAGGAGCCUUUUGAGAGGCAGCUGGCAUCGUGAUUGGACUGUACUUUGGUCUGUUCCAAUCCAGCUUCAGCUCCAGAGACGGCAGGCGGGACGAGUCAACGGAGGCCGAGUGGACGAAGGCAUGCAGCUGAGUACAAUCCAGAAAACAACAGAGGAGGAGUGCAGCAGCCCAGGACCAGAACAAACAGAGUAGCAUCACCAAAGAACUACAGACUCUUCACAACCUGCUCAAACUCUUGGUACAGGACCUCACCACACGGGUCAAGAAGGUUUCCGUCUCAUUUCUACUCUGAAGCUCACCUUCUCCUGCUCAAACUGCUGACAAAUGUUUCUGCUGCUCUAAAGUCUGG